This 731-nucleotide ribosomal RNA is filed under the name Shigella sp. Its description in RNAcentral is "bacterial SSU rRNA". It matches the Rfam family "Bacterial small subunit ribosomal RNA", at positions 18 to 740 of the family's 1533-position model. The record is from RNAcentral. Lineage: Bacteria; Pseudomonadati; Pseudomonadota; Gammaproteobacteria; Enterobacterales; Enterobacteriaceae.
CAUGGCUCAGAUUGAACGCUGGCGGCAGGCCUAACACAUGCAAGUCGAACGGUAACAGGAAGCAGCUUGCUCUUGCUGACGAGUGGCGGACGGGUGAGUAAUGUCUGGGAAACUGCCUGAUGGAGGGGGAUAACUACUGGAAACGGUAGCUAAUACCGCAUAACGUCGCAAGACCAAAGAGGGGGACCUUCGGGCCUCUUGCCAUCGGAUGUGCCCAGAUGGGAUUAGCUUGUUGGUGGGGUAACGGCUCACCAGGCGACGAUCCCUAGCUGGUCUGAGAGGAUGACCAGCCACACUGGAACUGAGACACGGUCCAGACUCCUACGGGAGGCAGCAGUGGGGAAUAUUGCACAAUGGGCGCAAGCCUGAUGCAGCCAUGCCGCGUGUAUGAAGAAGGCCUUCGGGUUGUAAAGUACUUUCAGCGGGGAGGAAGGGAGUAAAGUUAAUACCUUUGCUCAUUGACGUUACCCGCAGAAGAAGCACCGGCUAACUCCGUGCCAGCAGCCGCGGUAAUACGGAGGGUGCAAGCGUUAAUCGGAAUUACUGGGCGUAAAGCGCACGCAGGCGGUUUGUUAAGUCAGAUGUGAAAUCCCCGGGCUCAACCUGGGAACUGCAUCUGAUACUGGCAAGCUUGAGUCUCGUAGAGGGGGGUAGAAUUCCAGGUGUAGCGGUGAAAUGCGUAGAGAUCUGGAGGAAUACCCGGUGGCGAAGGCGGCCCCCUGGACGAAGAC